GCUUGUUCAAAGUUUGGAUAAGAAAGUGAAUGUAAAGCUAUCACGUUGUAAUUUGGUGAAUUUUACACAUGGUUUCUUCGGAGGCCAAUAGGAGGAUUUUUUCGCAUGAAAAACGGUAAAGUAAAAUGGUUUAAUUCUGAAAAAGGUUUCGGAUUCAUCGAAGCUGAAGACGGAAACGACGUAUUCGUUCACUAUUCUGCAAUCCAAACUGAAGGUUUCAAAACUUUAGAAGAAGGUCAAGAAGUUUCUUUCGAAGUAGUUGAAGGAGCUCGUGGACCACAAGCUGCUAACGUAACUAAGAAGUAAUUUGACGAAGCCAUUUCAAACAGUCCGGUAGAAAUACCGGACUGUUUUU
RNAcentral lists this small RNA (355 nucleotides) under Bacillus sp. MUM 116. Its description in RNAcentral is "cspA thermoregulator". It matches the Rfam family "cspA thermoregulator". The record is from Rfam by way of RNAcentral. Lineage: Bacteria; Bacillati; Bacillota; Bacilli; Caryophanales; Bacillaceae.